CAGUCGCCGCGGGAAUACGUAGGUCCCGAGCGUUGUCCGGAUUUAUUGGGCGUAAAGCGAGCGCAGGCGGUUUGAUAAGUCUGAAGUUAAAGGCUGUGGCUCAACCAUAGUUCGCUUUGGAAACUGUCAAACUUGAGUGCAGAAGAGGAGAGUGGAAUUCCAUGUGUAGCGGUGAAAUGCGUAGAUAUAUGGAGGAACACCGGUGGUGAAAGCGGCUCUCUGGUCUGUAACUGACGCUGAGGCUUGAAAGCGUGGGGAGCGAACAGGAUUAGAUACCCCAGUAGUCCCUGUCUUUAUACAC
RNAcentral lists this ribosomal RNA (301 nucleotides) under uncultured bacterium. Its description in RNAcentral is "partial 16S ribosomal RNA". It matches the Rfam family "Bacterial small subunit ribosomal RNA", at positions 509 to 810 of the family's 1533-position model. The record is from RNAcentral.